This 86-nucleotide transfer RNA is filed under the name Collinsella intestinalis. RNAcentral's name for it is "tRNA-Leu". It matches the Rfam family "tRNA". Rfam says of the family: Transfer RNA (tRNA) molecules are approximately 80 nucleotides in length. Their secondary structure includes four short double-helical elements and three loops (D, anti-codon, and T loops). Further hydrogen bonds mediate the characteristic L-shaped molecular structure. tRNAs have two regions of fundamental functional importance: the anti-codon, which is responsible for specific mRNA codon recognition, and the 3' end, to which the tRNAs corresponding amino acid is attached (by aminoacyl-tRNA synthetases). tRNAs cope with the degeneracy of the genetic code in two manners: having more than one tRNA (with a specific anti-codon) for a particular amino acid; and 'wobble' base-pairing, i.e. permitting non-standard base-pairing at the 3rd anti-codon position. The record is from RNAcentral. Lineage: Bacteria; Bacillati; Actinomycetota; Coriobacteriia; Coriobacteriales; Coriobacteriaceae. RNAcentral also lists the same sequence under 2 other names.
GCCCGAGUGGCGGAAUGGCAGACGCAGGGGACUCAAAAUCCUCCGCCCGCGAGGGCGUGUGAGUUCGACUCUCACCUCGGGCACCA